CAAUAGCGUAUAUUUAAGUUGUUGCAGUUAAAAAGCUCGUAGUUGGAUUUCGGGUGGGACGCAGCGGUCUCGCAUUGCGUUUGUACUGCUGCAGCCCUCCUUCUUGCCGGGGGCGGCCUCUCGGACUUCACUGUCUGGGGGUCAGAAUCGUCGAUGUUACUUUGAGUAAAUUAGAGUGUUCAAAGCAAGCUUACGCUCUGAAUAUAAUAGCAUGGGAUAACACGACAGGACUCUGGCCUAUCGUGUUGGUCUAUAGGACCAGAGUAAUGAUUAAGAGGGACAGUCGGGGGCAUUCGUAUUCCGUUGUCAGAGGUGAAAUUCUUGGAUUUACGGAAGACGAACAUCUGCGAAAGCAUUUGCCAAGGAUGUUUUCAUUGA
RNAcentral lists this ribosomal RNA (378 nucleotides) under uncultured eukaryote. RNAcentral's name for it is "partial 18S ribosomal RNA". It matches the Rfam family "Eukaryotic small subunit ribosomal RNA", at positions 592 to 976 of the family's 1831-position model. The record is from RNAcentral.